UGUGUGUCCCUCCUGAAGCUUACACUCGGCUGAAGAGGACCAAUAUCCCCAAUAGAGGAGGACCAGUCUUCAGGCAAGGGUAUAUGAGUAGCCGAGCUUCCCUGCCAGAACCUCCAAACAAGCUUUCAAUAGAGUGUCAUUGCACAGCAAUUUCAUCUGGUCUAGUUUUUAGUACUCUUUCUGGAUUACUGGCUGAGGAUUAAGAAACAUGGACCAGAUGAAGUCAAUUAAGU
This 233-nucleotide small RNA is filed under the name Pan paniscus (pygmy chimpanzee). RNAcentral describes it as "7SK RNA (ENSPPAG00000007291.1)". The stretch from base 1 to 190 matches the Rfam family "7SK RNA", at positions 110 to 331 of the family's 331-position model. From Rfam's summary of the family: 7SK was discovered as an abundant small nuclear RNA in the mid-70s but a possible function has only recently been suggested. The record is from RNAcentral. Lineage: Eukaryota; Metazoa; Chordata; Mammalia; Primates; Hominidae.